This 230-nucleotide ribosomal RNA is filed under the name uncultured bacterium. RNAcentral's name for it is "partial 16S ribosomal RNA". It matches the Rfam family "Bacterial small subunit ribosomal RNA", at positions 524 to 753 of the family's 1533-position model. The record is from RNAcentral.
UACGUAGGGUGCAAGCGUUAAUCGGAAUUACUGGGCGUAAAGCGUGCGCAGGCGGUGAUGUAAGACAGAUGUGAAAUCCCCGGGCUCAACCUGGGAACUGCAUUUGUGACUGCAUCGCUAGAGUACGGCAGAGGGGGAUGGAAUUCCGCGUGUAGCAGUGAAAUGCGUAGAUAUGCGGAGGAACACCGAUGGCGAAGGCAAUCCCCUGGACCUGUACUGACGCUCAUGCA